AGAGUUUGAUCAUGGCUCAGGAUGAACGCUAGCUACAGGCUUAACACAUGCAAGUCGAGGGGCAGCAUGGUCUUAGCUUGCUAGGGCCGAUGGCGACCGGCGCACGGGUGAGUAACACGUAUCCAACCUGCCGUCUACUCUUGGACAGCCUUCUGAAAGGAAGAUUAAUACAAGAUGGCAUCAUGAGUCCGCAUGUUCACAUGAUUAAAGGUAUUCCGGUAGACGAUGGGGAUGCGUUCCAUUAGAUAGUAGGCGGGGUAACGGCCCACCUAGUCUUCGAUGGAUAGGGGUUCUGAGAGGAAGGUCCCCCACAUUGGAACUGAGACACGGUCCAAACUCCUACGGGAGGCAGCAGUGAGGAAUAUUGGUCAAUGGGCGAGAGCCUGAACCAGCCAAGUAGCGUGAAGGAUGACUGCCCUAUGGGUUGUAAACUUCUUUUAUAAAGGAAUAAAGUCGGGUAUGCAUACCCGUUUGCAUGUACUUUAUGAAUAAGGAUCGGCUAACUCCGUGCCAGCAGCCGCGGUAAUACGGAGGAUCCGAGCGUUAUCCGGAUUUAUUGGGUUUAAAGGGAGCGUAGAUGGAUGUUUAAGUCAGUUGUGAAAGUUUGCGGCUCAACCGUAAAAUUGCAGUUGAUACUGGAUAUCUUGAGUGCAGUUGAGGCAGGCGGAAUUCGUGGUGUAGCGGUGAAAUGCUUAGAUAUCACGAAGAACUCCGAUUGCGAAGGCAGCCUGCUAAGCUGCAACUGACAUUGAGGCUCGAAAGUGUGGGUAUCAAACAGGAUUAGAUACCCUGGUAGUCCACACGGUAAACGAUGAAUACUCGCUGUUUGCGAUAUACAGCAAGCGGCCAAGCGAAAGCGUUAAGUAUUCCACCUGGGGAGUACGCCGGCAACGGUGAAACUCAAAGGAAUUGACGGGGGCCCGCACAAGCGGAGGAACAUGUGGUUUAAUUCGAUGAUACGCGAGGAACCUUACCCGGGCUUAAAUUGCAGAUGAAUUACGGUGAAAGCCGUAAGCCGCAAGGCAUCUGUGAAGGUGCUGCAUGGUUGUCGUCAGCUCGUGCCGUGAGGUGUCGGCUUAAGUGCCAUAACGAGCGCAACCCUUGUUGUCAGUUACUAACAGGUUCCGCUGAGGACUCUGACAAGACUGCCAUCGUAAGAUGUGAGGAAGGUGGGGAUGACGUCAAAUCAGCACGGCCCUUACGUCCGGGGCUACACACGUGUUACAAUGGCAGGUACAGAGAGACGGUUGUACGUAAGUACGAUCAAAUCCUUAAAGCCUGUCUCAGUUCGGACUGGGGUCUGCAACCCGACCCCACGAAGCUGGAUUCGCUAGUAAUCGCGCAUCAGCCAUGGCGCGGUGAAUACGUUCCCGGGCCUUGCACACACCGCCCGU
This 1394-nucleotide ribosomal RNA is filed under the name uncultured bacterium. RNAcentral describes it as "bacterial SSU rRNA". It matches the Rfam family "Bacterial small subunit ribosomal RNA". The record is from RNAcentral.